AGAAAGCACCAGGGGUGCCUGUGUCAGCUUCAGAAACCUGGCCUUAUUAGCCAUAAUGCUGACUGAACAGGCUGAGAAAGUCCCUUUGAACCUGAACAGGAUAAUUCCUGCGUAGGGAGUGUGCAUUUUUUUUGUU
Molecule: regulatory RNA element, 136 nt
Organism: Nicotiana attenuata
Lineage: Eukaryota; Viridiplantae; Streptophyta; Magnoliopsida; Solanales; Solanaceae
Rfam family: TPP riboswitch aptamer (THI element)
About the family: Vitamin B(1) in its active form thiamin pyrophosphate (TPP) is an essential coenzyme that is synthesised by coupling of pyrimidine and thiazole moieties in bacteria. The previously detected thiamin-regulatory element, thi box was extended, resulting in a new, highly conserved RNA secondary structure, the THI element, which is widely distributed in eubacteria and also occurs in some archaea. Analysis of operon structures identified a large number of new candidate thiamin-regulated genes, mostly transporters, in various prokaryotic organisms.
Source: Rfam